AUAGCUCAAAUUUAAAAUCUGGUCCACUUGUGGAUCCGAAUUGUAGUCUAUAGAGGUGCCUUCUUGAAAACGGCGUGCGCACAAGUGUCCUGGAAUGGACCAUCACAGAGGGUGAGAAUCCCGUUUGGGCGCACGUUGUGUUCAUCUACGAGGCACUCUCGAAGAGUCGAGUUGUUUGGGAAUGCAGCUCAAAUUGGGUGGUAAACUUCAUCCAAGGCUAAAUAUUGGCAAGAGACCGAUAGCGAA
RNAcentral lists this ribosomal RNA (246 nucleotides) under Russulales sp. 3 CRJH-2017. RNAcentral describes it as "partial 28S ribosomal RNA". It matches the Rfam family "Eukaryotic large subunit ribosomal RNA", at positions 104 to 344 of the family's 3401-position model. Lineage: Eukaryota; Fungi; Basidiomycota; Agaricomycetes; Russulales. The record is from RNAcentral.